UUCGCCCGUCGUUUAUGAGGAUGAGUAUACCUCCGCAGGAGGUUCGAGCCUCGCGAAGCGAGACAACGUUGCUUCAGCAACGGCCCGCAGGGCGCGCAUCAACGAUGCGCGUAAUCCUCUCUCGCCGACCA
Molecule: small RNA, 131 nt
Filed under: Serratia marcescens
Lineage: Bacteria; Pseudomonadati; Pseudomonadota; Gammaproteobacteria; Enterobacterales; Yersiniaceae
Description: RtT sRNA
Rfam family: RtT RNA
About the family: This family represents a bacterial cis-regulatory element known as RtT RNA. The exact function of RtT is unknown although it is thought that it may be involved in changing the cellular response in relation to amino acid starvation.
Source: RNAcentral